Molecule: ribosomal RNA, 301 nt
Filed under: uncultured bacterium
Lineage: Bacteria
Description: partial 16S ribosomal RNA
Rfam family: Bacterial small subunit ribosomal RNA
Source: RNAcentral
CAGUCGCCGCGGUAAUACGUAGGUGGCAAGCGUUGUCCGGAAUUAUUGGGCGUAAAGCGCGCGCAGGUGGUUUAGUAAGUCUGAUGUGAAAGCCCACGGCUCAACCGUGGAGGGUCAUUGGAAACUGUUAAACUUGAGUGCAGGAGAGAGAAGUGGAAUUCCUAGUGUAGCGGUGAAAUGCGUAGAGAUUAGGAGGAACACCAGUGGCGAAGGCGACUCUCUGGUCUGUAACUGACGCUGAGGAGCGAAAGCGUGGGGAGCGAACAGGAUUAGAUACCCCUGUAGUCCCUGUCUCUUAUAC